Molecule: long non-coding RNA, 1249 nt
Organism: Patella vulgata (common limpet)
Lineage: Eukaryota; Metazoa; Mollusca; Gastropoda; Patellidae
Exons: 3
Source: RefSeq, a predicted model, not a curated record
GCGAGAGUUUGGUGUCUUAAGUCUUAUUCAAUUCAUCAUGGAUAACACUCGAAAGCGUCAAAGAGAACGAACAGUUAUAGAUACUGCACAGAAAAGAAGAAAGCAAUAGUUCAUGCGAUGCUACACAGCACAGAAAAAGACGAAUGUGUGUAUUUAUGUGGAAAAGUAGCGAGAUGGAAAUUGGAAUGAUUUCAACAAAGCCAACUUCACGAAGACGUUGCCAAUAUGUAAUGAAGCAAUAAAAACUUUUAAACCGGCACACAGGAAAUAUAUUGAGUCAUUCCAUGCCAGUAAGUUCCAGAUAUAAAACAAAUACUCAAAAAGAUCGGCAACUUGUCAGCGGUACCUUUAAUCUGGGGCAGUCAUACCCAGACCCAGCUGAUCCAACGAGAAUACAAAGAUCCCCCUCCACAAGUCCACCAACUCUAGAAGAUACAUGUAUUGUGAAGAAACAGACCACAAAAUUUUAAGAAUAUUACAGAAUAUAAUAUAUACUGACCAAAAUUAAAUAUACACAAUAUAAAGCAGGAAUAUGUUGUAAUAGCAUCAAUGUUUAUUAAACAUGCAUUAUGCAAGAAGUAAAUGUGCCUAUUGCAGGUCUUUCUUUAGGUCUGAAAUGUUAUAUAAACUACAUGUAUUAAUUAGACAUUUAUUAUAAUCAACUUUUGAUGUCAUCUGAGGUGUCCGAUUUUCAUUGGAUUUGAAUCUGAUCUGCUGUUCACCGUCUGUUGAUUAAACGCAACAAUGGAUAAUCAAGACUUUGUUUAUUAUCAUGACAGCUGCAAUAACAAUGACAAUCGAAGCUACAGUCAUUUUUAAACAAAGGUUUUCUCGGCGGUAACAAUGACAAUUUAGGCUACCGUCAUUUUUACAAUAAGGUUUUCUCGGCUUAUAGUGAAGCAAUUUGACUGAAAUUCUCAGCAUAUUCCAUUUACAUCAUCUUGUUUUAACUAUAAUAGUUAAGGCUGUGCAAAAAUAUCGAUAUAAUCGAUAAUCGGUAGAAGUUAUUUAGCGAUACGAUAAUCGAUAUUGAAAUUCAAAUAUCGAUUAUCGGUAUAUUUACCUUCUGACGACAAGUUACGGUCACUUUCGCAUGACUGAACUUGCCGUAGUCUGGCAUUAGCAGACGAAUGAAUGAAUACACAACGUCAACACAACUAUUUCCCCCCUCUGCUUACAAACUGGCACAUUUUAAAUAUAUAUUAUUGUAAAAAAACUAAACUUUAUGAUUAAAUACAUUAUUUUAAUA